AGACUUGCGCUAUACCUGCACGGGUAGGCGGGUGAUCAAGUUUUUGGGGAGCGCCCGUUCAGGCGUGACUGCUCCUUCUGCUCUCCGUCGACAAACGCCACUUCCCCAACCGUCGCUGCCAUGGCGCAGACCAGGAGAGCUGCUGCUGACGCCGGCGCCAGCGCUGGCCCAGACGAUGAAAGUGGUUCUGGUGGAGCUCAUACCGCGGGCACCGGUACUGGGUCCACCCAAGGGUAUAAACUGAUAUCUUCUCUGUUUAAGCAUUCGAUUAGUACUAUGCUACUUGUUGUUUUGUUCAGUAGUACAGUAGAGAAUGCUUAUGCUUAUGUUGAGAUGCUCAAGUACAUGUUAGUAUCUGUCACAUCGUUUUUAUGGAUUAAAGCAUGUUGCAAAAUGGCUAGAUAUUCAACAGAUAUCACAAUGAAUAUUUAAAAAAUUGUUAGAAUUUUUUCACUGUUAGUUUUCAUAUAGUUUUGAACUGUUAGUUUCCAGAUGGUACAUCAUAGCCAUUCUUUCUUAGCAGAUAAAAUCGCAGUGAUACUAAAUUCAGAUCUUUAACAUCAUAACCAGAAUUGUAAACAAAGUGCAAGUGCUCAGCGAUUUCAGCCUCAUAGUGAUUAUCCAGUCCGAGCCGCUGCAGUGUGAAUAUAAGAUCCAAUAUUUUUGGUACUUCAUUUGUGCCUUUUAUAAUCUUCCUGACUUCUUCCUUUAACACCUCAGCUCGCUCUUUCAUGUAUGCAUGCUGCAAGAGACAAGCAUCAAUGCAAUGCCAUCGUUACUUGAGGUGCAGUUGGCGGCUGGUAAGUCAGGAAGAAAUCACCCCACAGGCUCGGGUGAAAGGUAGGAGCCUUUGUCAGCCCCUCAUCACGGUUGGAAUGAAGUGCAGACAUCUUCUCGGUAUUUAUAGAGGCAUGCAUGAGUGUGACUGGGACGCCGUUCAGUGUUUUGUUUCUGUCUUUGACAGGGUGCCGUGUCUGGAACAGACAUAAGGGGAUCGCCUAUGUUAAAGUAAACGAAAUCCAGUUAAUUACUGCAAAUGACAUGUCUGCUAGUGGUUCUGUUCACAACGACAACGAACCACAGGACCACUAGUUUUGGUUUUGAUGGCAUCUGGCGGCAAACCUUAUCAGCUAAAUCGAACGAAAGCAGAGUUUGAGGUGCAAAACUCGCAAGAGAUAUAAAGAGAGAAACGUGUCCACAGUUUGAUGAGUCAUGAAGCAUAUGCCAAAAGAAGAGUUUGAGGCAUGAAACAUGUAUAAAUGCCCUGGUUUAGGAUUUCGAAAGAGCGAAAUUGCCCAUAAUGUUAUUUGCAUGGUUCAAGUUUCA
Molecule: long non-coding RNA, 1326 nt
Organism: Panicum virgatum (switchgrass)
Lineage: Eukaryota; Viridiplantae; Streptophyta; Magnoliopsida; Poales; Poaceae
Exons: 2
Source: RefSeq, a predicted model, not a curated record